GACGAACGCUGGCGGCGUGCUUAACACAUGCAAGUCGAACGGAAACGCCCUGCUUCUUUGUGUUGCUCGAGUGGCCAACGGGUGAGUAACACGUGAGUAACCUACCCUUGACUUUGGGCUAACUACAGGAACCUGGGGCGAAUACCGGCUACGAGCUCCUGCUGCAUGGUGGGGGUUGGAAAGUUACGGCGGUUGGGGAUGGACUUGCGGCUGAUCAGUUUGUUGGUGGGGUAGUGGCUUACCAAGGCUUUGACGGGUAGCAGGCCUGAGAGGGUGACCGGCCACAUUCGGACUGCGAUACGGCCCACAGCCCUACGGGAGGCAGGAGUAGGGAAUAGUGCCCGAAGUGCGGAAGCCUGAUGCAGCAACGCCGCGUGCGGGAUGACAACCUUCGGGUUGUAGGCCGCUUGCGCCUGUAACGGUGCGUCAGUGACGGUAAUGGGUAAAUAAGCACCGGCUAACUACGUG
Molecule: ribosomal RNA, 468 nt
Filed under: uncultured bacterium
Lineage: Bacteria
Description: partial 16S ribosomal RNA
Rfam family: Bacterial small subunit ribosomal RNA
Source: RNAcentral